UCCAGACUCCUACGGGAGGCAGCAGUGGGGAAUAUUGGACAAUGGGGGGAACCCUGAUCCAGCGACGCCGCGUGAGUGAAGAAGUAUUUCGGUAUGUAAAGCUCUCUCAGCAGGGAAGAAAGAAAUGACGGUACCUGGCUAAGAAGCCCCGGCUAACUACGUGCCAGCAGCCGCGGUAAUACGUAGGGGGCAAGCGUUAUCCGGAUUUACUGGGUGUAAAGGGAGCGUAGACGGCGAUGCAAGUCUGAAGUGAGAGGCGGGGGCCCAACCCCCGGACUGCUUUGGAAACUGUAUGGCUGGAGUGCAGGAGAGGUAAGUGGAAUUCCUAGUGUAGCGGUGAAAUGCGUAGAUAUUAGGAGGAACACCAGUGGCGAAGGCGGCUUACUGGACUGUAACUGACGUUGAGGCUCGAAAGCGUGGGGAGCAAACAGGAUUAGAUACCCGCGUA
This 448-nucleotide ribosomal RNA is filed under the name uncultured bacterium. RNAcentral describes it as "bacterial SSU rRNA". It matches the Rfam family "Bacterial small subunit ribosomal RNA", at positions 330 to 792 of the family's 1533-position model. The record is from RNAcentral.